Molecule: long non-coding RNA, 207 nt
Filed under: Homo sapiens (human)
Lineage: Eukaryota; Metazoa; Chordata; Mammalia; Primates; Hominidae
Description: non-protein coding lnc-FAM53A-2:1
Source: RNAcentral
CUGAGAGUUGGGGACCCUCUGUCUUGGGGUGUCUUAGGUGAGUCUGGGACCCUCUGUCUGGGGGUAUUUCUCAGGUGAGUCUGGGACCCUCUGUCUGGGGGUGUCUUAGGUGAGUUUGGGACCCUCUGUCUGGGGGUAUUUCUUAGGUGAGUCUGGGACCCUCUGUCUGGGGGUAUUUCUCAGGUGAGUCUGGGACCCUCUGUCUGG